GUGCUCGCUUCGGCAGCACAUAUACUAAAAUAGGAACGAUACAGAGAAGAUUAGCAUGGCCCCUGCACAAGGAUGACAGGCAAAUUCGUGAAGCGUUCCAUAUUAAA
RNAcentral lists this small nuclear RNA (107 nucleotides) under Aotus nancymaae (Ma's night monkey). The record is from RNAcentral. Lineage: Eukaryota; Metazoa; Chordata; Mammalia; Primates; Aotidae.